UAGUACGUGAAACCGUUCAGGGGUAAACCUGAGAAACCCGAAAGUUCGAAUGAGAAGAUUCAGUAUCCUACCAUUUGGUCGACCAUUACAUUAUAUUAUGUGAUAAUUUUUAAUUUGUAAACUUGUUUUGCAUUUUAAUAUUACACUAAUUUGUUUUGAGAUUUGGCUAUGGAGAUAUGCACUUCUUCUCUAGUAGGACGUUGCAACCCAUUGGAUGUUAAUCUAAGGUCCCUUAAUGGUAGCCUAUUUUAUAUAUAUUUCGGUAUAUGUGAUUUAGACCUGAGGUGUUUUGCCUGAUUAACUUGUUCGAUGGUAUGUCUUUAUAAUAUAGGGGUCGCCUAUAUGGCAUUUAACUUUUUUUCAAGUGUGUAUGGAUUAAAUUUUGGCUAUCAGACCUAGUCUGGUACUGAAACCAUUACCACUGUUUGAAAAUUAUGUUGUAAUUAAAUUGACCCGAAUUUAUAUAGGUUAGCAACGCUUUUGCUUUGGGUACUUUCAGGACCCGUCUUGAAACACGGGACCAAGGA
This 527-nucleotide ribosomal RNA is filed under the name Neopanorpa pulchra. Its description in RNAcentral is "eukaryotic LSU rRNA". Lineage: Eukaryota; Metazoa; Arthropoda; Insecta; Mecoptera; Panorpidae. The record is from RNAcentral.